This 3156-nucleotide long non-coding RNA is filed under the name Podarcis lilfordi (Lilford's wall lizard). Lineage: Eukaryota; Metazoa; Chordata; Lepidosauria; Squamata; Lacertidae. The record is from RNAcentral.
GUUCAUGGUGAGUUCCGGCACCUUUUUUGCUAGAAAUAUAUCACUAUUUAUACCCCACACAUCUUUUUGGGUUGCCUCAGCACUCUGGGCAGCUCCCAACAUAAAGACAUUCAUACUAAAAUAUUAAACAUAUUAAAAAAUCUCGAUAUUGGAUUGGACGCCUUGUGGGUUGGAUAACUCCACAUCCGCCAACAUUUCUCCAAUGAAAAUAGGGACAUUCUAAGGAAAAGUGGGACAUUCCGGGAUCAAAUGAAAAACUGUCUCUAAAUCAGGGAUGUCCCUGGAAAACUGGAACACUUGCAGGCUCUGUAGUAACAGAAAUGGCUGUACAGUGGUGCCCCGCAAGACGAAUGCCUCGCAAGACGAAAAACCCGCUAGACGAAAGGGUUUUCCGUUUUUCGAUGCGCUUCGCAAGACAAAUUUCCCUAUGGGCUUGCUUCGCAAGACGAAAAUGUCUUGCGAGUCUUGCGAUUUUUUUUUGCUCCCUCCCCCUUUUUUUAAGCCGCUAAGCCGCUAAUAGCCUUUUAGCCGCUAAGCCGCUAAGCCUUUAAUAGCCGCUAAACCGCUAAUAGCGCUAAUCCGCUAAGCCACUAAUAGGGUUGCUUCGCAAGACGAAAAGACCGCUAGACGAAGAGACUCGCGGAACGGAUUAUUUUCGUCUUGCGAGGCACCACUGUAUAGGAAUUCCAGUCUACAUGAGAUACACGUAGCCCCAAAUCAUAAGAGGUUGAAGUGAGUAGGCCUGAUAUAUCCAUCUUGGCUUCCCGUUUUCUUAAUGCUGGUGUUUUCCCCUGCCAUUCCAGCUUCACCCUUUCUUAAGAGAAAUCCGGUGUCUGAAUACUUCCAGAGGCAGGCUGUGCUUGGAUGAGAACUGGGAGCUGCCAGCGGACUUUGAUAUUGUGAACUGGGUGAUGUCUCCCAAUAAGUCUCGUGACAUUGUGAAAAUUGGGAAUAUAAGGAGAGAGACGUCUGCUGGCAUAAAUUUCACCAUUAACCCAGAAGCCAUUGAGUGGCCCAAGAAAUUCAAUAAGGUAGGGUAAAUCACAGAGGGAAAAGGCCAGGAGAUCCUUAUUAUGUUUUUCCUUAAACAACCGCUGCAAAAUGACCAUAUCAGGUUGACCAAUGGUGUCUUGACCGUCUAUAACAGCUGCAACCACCACUCCUUCUUUCCACAGCAGCUGAGAUAGGAGGGGAAUUUGGGGUGCUCAAAGAAAGGAUAGAGCCCAGAGGUCCUUAGUAAAGACACCAUCUAUUUCCGAGCCAGACUGAGAAUUUAAGAAUUCUGGACAGAAUCUUUAACCGAAUGGACUACGUAGAUAAGAAGAAAAGGGAAAGCCCCUAGUAAAAGUGAACUAUUGGGCUUUCAUACAUGCAGAAAGAUGGAAAGUAAUUUAUUUUAGAAAUGAUAAUUACUGAUUUAUAGUGGAUUUUUUAAUUUGUGGAGUAAGCUCAUUUGUAGAUGUUGCAAAUGUUAAACUAUUGUAUGUGCAGGAAUUGAGAAGUGCACAGCUGUUGGUGAAGGAUGAGAAGUUAAAAAAAUACCCCUAUUGUAAAGUAAGGUUAAUGUUAAGAAAUGGCACAUGAACUAGAAAUAACUAGGGAAAUAGAUCAGCGACAAGAGGAAACCUUGCAUGCCUCAAGAACAGAGUGAGGGAAACCAAUAUUUGGAAAAGUCAUAUUAAAUUUGUCUUAAUUAGUGACUGAGAGUUUAUCAGAAUCCUGAACUUUGGGGAAAUCACAUUUCAGACUCCAUUGCCAUUUUCUUUGAAGAUAUAUUAAGCAGGGAAGCAGGUAAACGGAGAAGAGGAAAGAGAAUUCUGUGGCGCAAACCUCAGUUGUCCUGAACAAAGAACAAGAUAUUCUGGUCACACCAAUGGUCAGUGGGGGGUUGAAAGGACCCUGAUGAGGGGUCAAAGGCUGCAGUCCAGAGAUCCAUUUGAAUUCACUCUAUGAGUGAAUUACAUACCCACAAAUACUCCUAACUGUUCCUCUUUCUUGCACCUUCUUGUCUUUCUGGUUAGGCCGUGCCUCGUUCCAGGUGUACAGAAAGAUGUCGACCUGGAUAUGCCAAGGUGGUUCUAGAAGGAAAGCCCAUUUGCUGCUAUGCUUGUGCUCGGUGUGCGGAAGGGACCUUCUCCGCCCAGGAAGGUGGGUGACUCCAAGGGGGAAGGUAUUUCUGGAGAGAGUAAACACAGGGCAGAAAUCCAGUCUCAAACACUUUUUGUGAGAUUUCUGCAGACAUUGGGGAAUGUGGCUCCUUCCUCAACUUCUUUACAAUCACCUUCAUUACAUCCUGGAAGAGAGUUGAAAGGAAUGACCAUAAGGAAGAAAUCUCUAGGAUUUCUUCAAAAUGUAAUCGAGUUCAGAUCAUUAGGGAUGUAAGUGAUGUUGCAGCCACUCUUUUUCUCUUCCCCAGAUGCAGAACAUUGCACCAAAUGCUCAGAAGAUCACCAUUCAAACAAGGACAGAGAUCAAUGUGUCCCCAAGAUUACCACCUUCCUGACUUAUGGAGAAUAUUUAGGAAUGGUGUUAGCUUCCGUUGCCCUCUUCUUAUCUAUAACAGCAGGCACUGUGUUGGGAAUCUUCAUUAAAUACAAGGAAACUCCCAUAGUCAAAGCCAACAACCGGGACCUCUCCUACAUCCUGCUCGUCUCCCUCCUGCUUUCCUUUUUGUCCUCCUUCCUCUUCAUCGGGCGCCCAAGGAAAGAGACCUGCCUUCUCCGACAAACGGCCUUCAGCAUCAUCUUCUCAGUUGCUGUUUCUUCUGUCUUGGCAAAGACCAUCACGGUGGUGCUGGCCUUCCUGGCCACAAAGCCCGGGAACAGGGUGAGGAGAUGGCUGGGCAAGAGUCUGGCCAACUCCAUGGUCAUCUCCUGUUCUGGGGGGCAAGUUCUCAUCUGCACCAUCUGGCUGGGCUCUUCUCCCCCAUUCCCAGAGCCCGACAUGCGCUCCCAGGCGGAAGAGAUCGUCCUGCAAUGCAACGAAGGGUCUGUGGCCAUGUUCUACGUUGCCCUCGGCUACCUGGGCUUCUUGGCUGCCACCUGCUUCACGGUGGCUUUCCUAGCCAGGAAGCUGCCCGGCUCCUUCAACGAAGCCAAGCUGAUCACCUUCAGCAUGCUGGUCUUCUGCAGUGUUUGGUUGUCGUUUGUGCCCACC